This is a long non-coding RNA of Polyodon spathula (Mississippi paddlefish), 526 nucleotides long. RefSeq lists it as uncharacterized. Lineage: Eukaryota; Metazoa; Chordata; Actinopteri; Acipenseriformes; Polyodontidae. The record is from RefSeq and is a predicted model, not a curated record. The transcript is spliced from 3 exons.
UUUCCCUUUCUUUCCAGGAGGAGGCGAGUCCUUGUCUGCACAGGGAGUGGGAGCACAGGGAGCGAGUCCGGGAGAUAGCGGAGACCCACGGGAGACACCUGACAGAGAUCCAGGCACGGAACAGGGGCCUGGAGCAAAAGAGAGACGGUACUGGGAUACUGGGAGACUGGUGGCUGGAAAGAUCCUUGAGGUGGUUGCCCGUGCCGUCGCCCUUGCCGAGAACCCUCCCCUUCACCACACCCCUUAUAACCCCUUCUGAUUCAAAAUAAAAGCUGGUUUACCAGACCCUGAAGAACACAGCUGAGAGCAGCACAGGACCAGCCCUGAUGGAGCUGGGUAAGGAUGGGGUGGAAACAGCUGCCCUGCCCCCCCUGCCAGCUCCACACCCCAGACAGCUGACCUCAAACCCAACCCCACAAAUACAGCAGAGCAUUGCAGUCCCCUACAUUCUCCAAAAACCAUUGCCGAGGAUCCCCAGAUUAGAAUCAGCUCAGAACCCCCUCCCCUUGAACUGCUGAAAGCCAGG